This 301-nucleotide ribosomal RNA is filed under the name uncultured bacterium. RNAcentral's name for it is "partial 16S ribosomal RNA". It matches the Rfam family "Bacterial small subunit ribosomal RNA", at positions 509 to 807 of the family's 1533-position model. The record is from RNAcentral.
CAGCCGCCACGGUAAUACGUAGGUGGCAAGCGUUGUCCGGAAUUAUUGGGCGUAAAGGGCUCGCAGGCGGUUUCUUAAGUCUGAUGUGAAAGCCCCCGGCUCAACCGGGGAGGGUCAUUGGAAACUGGGAAACUUGAGUACAGAAGAGGAGAGUGGAAUUCCACGUGUAGCGGUGAAAUGCGUAGAGAUGUGGAGGAACACCAGUGGCGAAGGCGACUCUCUGGUCUGUAACUGACGCUGAGGAGCGAAAGCGUGGGGAGCGAACAGGAUUAGAUACCCCCGUAGUCCCUGUCUCUUAUAC